RNAcentral lists this ribosomal RNA (627 nucleotides) under Triticum aestivum (bread wheat). Its description in RNAcentral is "partial small subunit ribosomal RNA". Lineage: Eukaryota; Viridiplantae; Streptophyta; Magnoliopsida; Poales; Poaceae. The record is from RNAcentral.
GAUAGUGACAGGCCAUGGAAGGGGUCAGCCACACCUUGUGACAAUAUGGACAGGCAGUUGUUCUCCAGCUGCACAACAAUCUCCCUGGGUGAUGGUAGUGUUGCUAGCUUCUGGACGGACCGAUGGUUGGACAGUGAGGCGCCAAUGGUGGUGGCUCCUGCCAUCUUCAAGCUGGCACGGUUCAAAAGGAUCUCGGUGUGAGAGGGCUUGCAUAAUGGAAGGUGGAUGAAUGGGCUACACAGGAUGAACAAUGAGGAGCAAUUGAAUCAAUUUGUCAAGCUUUGGAAUGGGGUGCAAUUGACGAACUUGUCGUCAGAAAAGGACACAAUUGCUUGGAGGCUUACAACCAAUGGUGCAUAGUCGGCUGCCUCGGCAUAUGAUGCCUAGUUUAUCGCUCGGUUGGAAAAGCCACAGCUGGCCCGAGUGUGGACUACCAAGGUCGAGGGGAAGGUGAGGUUCUACAUGUGGCUGCUGCUACAGAACAGAAAUUGGACUGACGAUAGACUACAGGCAAGAGUAUGGCCUCACAAUGUGCUGUGCAAGUUAUGUGACCAAGAACCGGAAACUGCCAAGCAUAUCGUGCUGCAUUGCUCUUUUGCCAAGGAGGUUUGGUUUCAGUUUCGGUAG